RNAcentral lists this ribosomal RNA (305 nucleotides) under uncultured bacterium. RNAcentral's name for it is "bacterial SSU rRNA". It matches the Rfam family "Bacterial small subunit ribosomal RNA", at positions 343 to 665 of the family's 1533-position model. The record is from RNAcentral.
CUAGCGCAGCAGUGGGGGAUAUUGCACAAUGGGGGGAACCCUGAUGCAGCGACGCCGCGUGGGCGAUGGAGUACUUCGGUAUGUAAAGCCCUAUCAGCAGGGAAGAAAAUGACGGUACCUGACUAAGAAGCCCCGGCUAAAUACGUGCCAGCAGCCGCGGUAAUACGUAUGGGGCAAGCGUUAUCCGGAUUUACUGGGUGUAAAGGGAGCGUAGGCGGCCUGGCAAGCCUGAUGUGAAAUACCGGGGCCCAACCCCGGGGCUGCAUUGGGAACUGCCAGGCUGGAGUGCCGGAGAGGCAGGCGGG